AACGAACGCUGGCGGCAUGCCUAACACAUGCAAGUCGAACGAGACCUUCGGCUCUAGUGGCGCACGGGUGCGUAACGCGUGGCAACCUGCCCUUACGUUCGGAAUAACUCCCCCAAAGGCGUGCUAAUACCGGAUAAUGUCUUCGGACCAAAGACUUACCGCGUUUGGAUGGGCCCGCGUUGGAUUAGCUAGUUGGUAGGGUACGAGCCUGCCAAGGCGACGAUCCAUAGCUGGUCGGAGAGGAUGACCGGCGAAACUGGGACUGAGACACGGCCCAUACGCCUACGGGAGGCAGCAUGUGGGAAUAUUGGACAAUGGGCGAAAGCCUGAUCCAGCAAUGCCGCGUGAGUGAUGAAGGCCUUAGGGUUGUGAAGGUCUUUUACCCGGGAUGAUAAUGACAGUACCGGGAGAAUAAGCUCCGGCUAACUCCGUG
RNAcentral lists this ribosomal RNA (433 nucleotides) under uncultured bacterium. RNAcentral's name for it is "partial 16S ribosomal RNA". It matches the Rfam family "Bacterial small subunit ribosomal RNA", at positions 29 to 507 of the family's 1533-position model. The record is from RNAcentral.